This 253-nucleotide ribosomal RNA is filed under the name uncultured bacterium. Its description in RNAcentral is "partial 16S ribosomal RNA". It matches the Rfam family "Bacterial small subunit ribosomal RNA", at positions 524 to 776 of the family's 1533-position model. The record is from RNAcentral.
UACGAAGGGUGCAAGCGUUGCUCGGAAUUAUUGGGCGUAAAGGGUAGGUAGGUGGUCUCGUUAGUCCGUGGUGAAAGCCUGCUGCUUAACAUCAGAAGUGCCUUGGAAACGGCGAGACUAGAGUUCUAGAGAGGGACGUGGAAUUCCCGGUGUAGCGGUGAAAUGCGUAGAGAUCGGGAGGAACACCAGAAGCGAAGGCGACGGCCUGGAUAGAUACUGACACUAAUCUACGAAAGCGUGGGUAGCAAACAGG